This 312-nucleotide long non-coding RNA is filed under the name Lathyrus oleraceus (garden pea). Its description in RNAcentral is "Pisum sativum (pea) long non-coding RNA (PSAT_LNC008195)". Lineage: Eukaryota; Viridiplantae; Streptophyta; Magnoliopsida; Fabales; Fabaceae. The record is from RNAcentral.
AAACCUCAGAAUAUUUUGCUUCUCUUCCUUCUUCUGUCUGUUUUGUUUCAAUGAAACUCUAGUAUUUAUAGCCUAAUAUUGGUAGCUUAGUAGGCUUUUGAGAGAGGUCCAAGUCUGAGAUUUUUUAUUUAUUUAUUUAUUUAUUUAAAUUUUUUUAUUUUUUUUCGUUUUUUUUUUCAUUUUUUAUUUAAAUAAAGUUUCUUGGAUCUGAUUCUGAUUGACAUGAUGAAAUGUAAUAUGAAAUGUUAAAUGACCUAAAAAUGAAUGCAUGAAUGAGGAGGGCAAAUUUUGGGGUGUUACAUUAGGAUGUAG